RNAcentral lists this ribosomal RNA (445 nucleotides) under uncultured bacterium. Its description in RNAcentral is "bacterial SSU rRNA". It matches the Rfam family "Bacterial small subunit ribosomal RNA", at positions 354 to 796 of the family's 1533-position model. The record is from RNAcentral.
GUGAGGAAUAUUGCGCAAUGGAGGCAACUCUGACGCAGCCAUGCCGCGUGCAGGAAGAAGGCGCUACGCGUUGUAAACUGCUUUUAACCGGGAAGAAACCCCAGGACGUGUCCUGGGUUGACGGUACCGGAGGAAUAAGCACCGGCUAACUUCGUGCCAGCAGCCGCGGUAAUACGAAGGGUGCAAGCGUUAUCCGGAUUCAUUGGGUUUAAAGGGUGCGUAGGCGGAGCGUUAAGUCAGUGGUGAAAUCCUGCAGCUUAACUGUAGACUUGCCAGUGAUACUGGCGCUCUUGAGUGCGCUUGAAGUGGGCGGAAUGUGCCGUGUAGCGGUGAAAUGCUUAGAUAUGGCACAGAACACCAAUUGCGAAGGCAGCUCACUAAGGCGAUACUGACGCUGAGGCACGAAAGCGUGGGGAUCGAACAGGAUUAGAAACCCCGGUAGUCC